UAGAAAUUUCAUGAGAAUUGGAUAAUGGAUACUUCAGUUUUGGAGUGGAUCUUAUCAGCUAUAGUGCAGCAGUUUUCAGCAUGUAGCAGUGGUGGAAGAAUUGAAAUCUGGUAGCAAUCUAGAAGUCAAAUGAAGCUCAAAUUUUUACAGCUGCUAGAUGACUUAGUGAACCACAUCUCCACUAAAUUUCGUGAUAUUUGGAUCUGUACAUUGUGAGAUAUGGAUAUUUCUUUAAAAGGUACAGAAUCUGUCAGAAAAGUGACAAAUAUUGGAUUGAUCUAGAGUCACUUAAAUUGAAAGGUCC
This 304-nucleotide long non-coding RNA is filed under the name Sorghum bicolor (sorghum). RNAcentral describes it as "long non-coding RNA (SBIC_LNC011822)". Lineage: Eukaryota; Viridiplantae; Streptophyta; Magnoliopsida; Poales; Poaceae. The record is from RNAcentral.